CGUUCCCGGGUCUUGUACACACCGCCCGUCACACCAUGGGAGCGUGUUUUACCAGAAGUAGGUAGCUUAACCGUAAGGAGGGCGCUUACCACGGUAGGAUUCGUGACUGGGGUG
RNAcentral lists this ribosomal RNA (114 nucleotides) under uncultured bacterium. RNAcentral describes it as "partial 16S ribosomal RNA". It matches the Rfam family "Bacterial small subunit ribosomal RNA", at positions 1369 to 1482 of the family's 1533-position model. The record is from RNAcentral.